RNAcentral lists this long non-coding RNA (779 nucleotides) under Pogona vitticeps (central bearded dragon). Its description in RNAcentral is "lncRNA (ENSPVIG00000003514.1)". The record is from RNAcentral. Lineage: Eukaryota; Metazoa; Chordata; Lepidosauria; Squamata; Agamidae.
GAUCAGUACCUUUUGUCACUAUCACUGUGUGCCCACCACUAAUUUCCAUGGUGUACCCAAGUGUGUUUCAAGUCUCUACAAAUGUCUUUGUGCCCAUGGGACAAAAAUAAAAAUAAACCAAAGCAAAUGAUAAAUCAAGCAGACAAGCCUGGCUUUCUUCCAUGUCUGCUCUACAAGGAUGACAGGAUCUCCCCGCUAAUUCUAAUUUUAUCAGAGUCCAAUGAUAGCCAGAUGUUUGCUGACCAAUAUCUCAUAUCCAUGAUUGGGACCCUGGGCUUGUAAGUGGUUCUAACAGCCAUUUGACUUUCUACCUUGAGUUGCCCACCCAAUGGCCAUGAAGGCUUUUGGGCUUCUCAUUUCUCUUCUGUUGUGGAUGCUCUUGGUUUCCGCAGGUCUUUCCUUCACUUGGAAUACACCAGGUCUUUAUCUCAUGGGAUGUUUUACUCUGCGGUCAGGUCCCUGCAAAAUCGGGCCAUGUAUUGAAAAGAACUACGGGCAAUGUGGCCCCUCGAAGAAAUGUUGUAAACGUGCCAUAAACAACACUAUGACGUGUUAUAUAUCUGGAGGCCACUGCUCGGUGGGGCGUUGCUUUCCUCCUUCAGUUGCUGAUGGGAAAUGUGGCAGAGGUAGUCCAUGCUGUUUCAGUCGCUAGAAUAUCUGGAUCUUCUGUUCUCAUUAACAUUCAUCACAUCAUCACAAUCAAAUGGAUCAGUUCUUUCCACAUCGCAUUUCAGAUGUCCAUGAAUAAAGCAGAGCUUCAAAUGGAUUCUUGAAAUAAA